This 385-nucleotide ribosomal RNA is filed under the name uncultured bacterium. RNAcentral describes it as "bacterial SSU rRNA". It matches the Rfam family "Bacterial small subunit ribosomal RNA", at positions 355 to 740 of the family's 1533-position model. The record is from RNAcentral.
UGGGGAAUAUUGCACAAUGGGCGCAAGCUUGAUGCAGCGACGCCGCGUGAGGGAUGACGGCUUUCGGGUUGUAAACCUCUUUCGAUGGGGAACAAGGCCAUAUUUUUGUGUGGUUGAGGGUACCUGUAUAAGAAGCGCCGGCUAACUACGUGCCAGCAGCCGCGGUAAUACGUAGGGCGCGAGCGUUGUCCGGAAUUAUUGGGCGUAAAGAGCUCGUAGGCGGCUUGUCGCGUCUGCUGUGAAAACGCGGGGCUUAACUCCGCGCUUGCAGUGGGUACGGGCAGGCUUGAGUGUAGUAGGGGAGACUGGAAUUCCUGGUGUAGCGGUGGAAUGCGCAGAUAUCAGGAGGAACACCGAUGGCGAAGGCAGGUCUCUGGGCUAUUAC